CACAACAAUGUAGAUGUAAUGAGUCUGUCUGUGUUUUGCCCUGUUUCUGUCUGCUGUCUGCCUUGCUGUUAAUUGUUUGCUCCGCCCACUCAUUUGUCACCAUAGACACUAAUUGCACUCUAUCUCCCCCCCGGGUGUAUCGUCUUAGUCUCUGAUUGUCUCUGCAUUGUGAUUGGUUCCUGUUUGUUAUAUCUACUCUGUUUGUUCACUUCCCUGGUGUUGGUCGUUGUUGGAUGUUUACGUCUAUGUUCCUGUUUCCUGUCUUGCUCAGUGUUCUGCCCUGUUUUGCCUGCUUGUUUGUUUGGCUGUUUCUUGUUUUGGUCUAUUAAAAAUCUAAACUGCAUUUGGAUCCUCACUCAUCUUUGCCUCACCGCGACAGUAGAUGAGACAGAAAUCGUAGUCAAAACACGGGCAGCAGGUCAGGACAGGCGGCAAACAAUCAACAGACAGGAAAAACAGAACAAAGUAAUAAACCGGGAUAAUCACAGGAAAGGGUUCGCUCAGACUGACAGCCGUGGCAAAUCGAGACUUCGCACUGAAGUCACGUUCAAGUUCAGUUAUAUAGGAAGUGGGGGAUUGGAAGCAGGUGGCAGUGUAAUCAGUCCCUGUAAGAGGAUUAUGGGAAAUGCAGUCCGGAAACUACUAAUACUCGGUGGAAGGUUCCCUCUGGUGGCGAUCGGAGGACGAGGCAGGCGCCUCAACCAUGACAAAUCAGUCAUCAUCAACUUUACAUGAUUUAAUCCAGAAGAGUGAAUUAAUCAGUGAAGGUCCACCUGCACAAUAUCAUCUCCUCACAACCAGAAGUGAUCUUCUUGAAAAUGGCUCAGUGAGAAAAUGGACAUUUGGACAGAGAGACAUCAAUAUGCAAAACAAAACUGUAGUGAUGGUAGGAGAAACUGGAACAGGCAAAACUACUCUGAUUAAUGCCAUGACUAAUUAUAUACAGACAUUCACAUUAUUCACAGUGAUUGUGGAGUGAAAGAAAUUGAUGCAGUGUGUCUGGUAUUAAAGGCAUCUGAGAAUCGAGACUCUGACAGACUGCAAUACAUCUUUGAAGCAGUUUUGUCUUUAUUUGUUAAAGACAAAACUGUUAUUUGUCAGAUGGACUGCCUCUAACAAAUGCUAUAUCACCAAAAAAAGAGAAGGGGAGCCUGAAGUAUAAAAGAGCUCUCAAGACAUCUUGGGAACAAACAGAGGACAGUUUCAAUGAUUUCUUUGCCUCACGGAAAGAACAGAGCAGAAAAAGCUUAAAGAACACUGAAAGUGUUAUGAAAGAGUCCAUAAGACUUGAAGCCUGUAUUUCUAAUCUACAAAACCAUACUGAGUUUAUAGAGUGCAAGAGUAAAGAACUGACUCAGAUUCAGAAAUAUUUUGAGGAAAACAGAGAAAAGAUCAAGAGAAAUGAAAACUUUACUUUAACAGUCACACAGUAUUACAAAGUUCCCAUUGUAAAUGCUUCAUGGAGGGACAGAAAGGCCACCCGUUGCUCUGUCUGUGAGGAGAACUGUCAUGAGUAUAACUGCUGGUUUGCUUCUAGUGCCUGGUGGUGCUAUGUUAUUAAAAAUAACCACUGCACUUCAUGUACACAUAAAUGUCACUACAGUAAACAUGUCAGAGAGAACAAGAAAUAUGUUACAAGAGCAAAGAGACCACAAUGAGUUAUGCUGCAAUUAAAAAGGAAUAUGAAGAUCGCAAAAAAUUAGGAUCAAACACAGAGUUUGAUUCAAAGCCCUUUAAAAAAUGUUGAAGUAAAACUUGCAGACAACAAGAACGAGAACGAAAAGCAGAUAAACCUAGAGGAUGAACUGAAGGAAGAAAUUAGUGAGAAAGAAAAGGAAAAAGCUAAGCUGGAGGAAGAAGCUUAUAACACCAUCAUAAAACUGUAUGAGAUUUCUUUAAAGCCAGACUCUGCUUUCAUUGUUCAGUCUCUUGACUUCUUAAUCCCUCGAGCUGAGGAAACUGGAAGAGAAGAUCUUGUUCAGAGAUUAAGAGAGAUGAGGAAGAUUCAGCCUGAAGCAGAGGAAAGAGUUAAUGCUGCAAUGGGGUAUGGAAGAGCAGGUCUCACUAAAGUGAAAAAUCUUUUUAGUGGUAAAUAAACGAAUUCAGGAGACUAAAUAUAGCCAUAGAACACAGUGUAUUACAGAUGUACAGAUAUUACAUUAAUGCAUAUCUUACAUGACAUAUUAUACAGAUAUUACAUUACAUAUUAUGCAGAUAUUACAUGACAUAUUAUACAGAUAUUACAUGACAUAUUAUAUAGAUAUUACAUUACAUAUUAGGAUAAAUUAACAUGUCUAUAUCAAGUGUGCAUGUAUUGUGUAACAGUGUCAUGAACUGUACAGGGUUCCAAGGGUUGUAGUUUUUCAUCCUGACCACCAGUGGGUUCUAGGUGCUCCCUGGGUGUGAUAAAAGGUGAGAAAGUGGUAGAGUAAGAGAGAGGACAGCAUGGUGUACCUUGUGUUCCUUCUCUGCCCUGAGAGACCAUCCUUGUUGAGAAACUUAAUUGUUUUGUUUGCUGCUCAAUUAAGGAUUUUUGUUUAUGGACUACACUUCUUGUACAUCAACUCAUGCUAUGGGAAUAAUGUGGAGGUGCUAUCAUUGUAGAAGAGACUGAUGUGCCAGGUCAUAUGGGACAUUUCCUACAUUAUGUCUGGACAUUACCACAAGUACAAGUAUUCUUUCCAUUGAUAAA
Long non-coding RNA from Tachysurus vachellii, 2692 nucleotides. RefSeq lists it as uncharacterized. The transcript has 3 exons. NCBI's taxonomy places the organism in Eukaryota, Metazoa, Chordata, Actinopteri, Siluriformes, Bagridae. The record is from RefSeq and is a predicted model, not a curated record.